CACAAAAAAUUCAUCAUUCGGUGCCUAUCUUAAUUACAACCCAAAAAUAUAUACACUACAGUCAUUUCUACUAAAAUAAAAACUUAAAGUCUCUCAAAACAUUCCAACAAUAUUCUUGAGCACUUUCGGAUCCGAAUCCUGUUAAGGAAAACAAAAUGUGGGAUGAGCUUGUACCCAGUGAGCAUUCCAAGUAAACAAGCAAAAUAAGAGAAUAGCACAAUUUAACAUGUAAGCACAUUUUUCCAAGUAAUCUAGGUUCAAGUAAAUCGAUACUCAACUUUAAAAACUGGUAGUUGAGCAAUUAAUUGUAAUAGGAAUCUUUCAAUGUAAAAUACUUGAUAAACAAUAACAUUCAUGCGUGCAUUCAAUUAUUCGUUCAAGUAAAUACAAGGAUGAACAAUAAUUUAAACAUUAAAAAGAUACGGAGCUCAUAGGGAGCAACAUGUACCUUAUAACUGCCAAUAAACAAUCACAUACAUUUUACCACCUUAUAACCUCCGAACUCCCACCUUAUGUCCUUCGAAAGAUCAACAAUCCCCUCAUUUAACAUCCACCUUAUGCCCUCCGAAAAAUCAAUAAUUCCCUCAUUUAACAUUAAACAUUAAAUAUUGUACUCAAGGCCUUUCGAUAAAGAGUUUUGAGCUUUGCACUUAACAUUGGUAAGUUAUAAACCCAAAACUGUCCAGCUAAUCUGACCUCGCAAAUGGCAGGUCUGGAAUAAGAUGCUGGCAUAGGAUUAAACUCAGUUCAACUGAUGCGAUAAAGUACAAAUCGGCCUACAUUCUUGUGCAUUUAUCACGCAUUCAUGCAAUGUGAACAUGCGCUCAUAGCAAAUUAACAAGACAAGAAAUUCAAAGGAGAGCACUUAAGCAAAUAAUAGCAUUUUCUCAAGUCAUGCAUAAUCAAAUAACAUGCCUAGUUCAUCCUCUUGAACUCUCUCGAGUCCUGUGAUCAUAUACUAUAUUAAAAAACUAGCAAUACAAAGCCAAAAUACAUGAAGAAAUUAAGGUUUCAAAACUUCAUUUAGAAAAUGCAUCAAUUUAUAAGUUUUAUGCCCGUAUAACCUAUCAAAAUAUAAUAUUUUCUUGUUGCAAUCGAGGAGAAAACCUCGUGUGCUUACUAAAUCAAUGUUGCAAAAGUCAUUUGGAAUACAAGAGUAUCGAUUAUAGUCAAACGUUUGAAGAAAUUAGAACAAGACUUUCAAAAUACAAAGUUGGAAAUUGUCCGACCUAAAAUGAUUUGAAAAACUCAUUUCCUUUCAUUUAAACCUCAAUUCCACUCAUAAAACCAAGCUCAAAAUGGUUUAACAUCUCCAACUUAAAGUUGGAAAUGGAAGCAAGAACAAGUUUAGAAAACAGAAUUUUCUCCAGUUUUGUGCAAGUUUCUUAAGUCCAAAAUUUAUAAACUUUAUGCCGUUGGAAAAUAGACUCAAAGGACUAAAAUUUUCUAGAAUACAUAUUUGUAAGAUUCUGUCCAUAAAUCAAUCAAAUUCUAGUCUCAAGUUGCUGUUUCAUCAAGUAGAAAAACAGAGCAAGUGUGAAAAUUCAGUCAAUUUUGAAAAAUCAUAGAUAUUUAUAGGAAUUGAGAAAAAUUCUGAAUUUUCAUGGUAGAAUCCACUCUGAAUCUAUUUUCAAAUGCAAUAAGCGAAACUCAAUUUGGAUUUUUAUACACCAAGAUAUAACAGAUUUUCCAAGACUGCUUAGAGUCUCCUGCGGAAAAAUUUCCAGCAACACUUUCCCUUAUUUUCUUAACUUUUCCAUCCAAACUCAACACCAAUAUUUAUAGGUUUAUAGCAAUCCAACCUCAAGCACAAUCACAAGUUAUAGGCUAUAAAGUAUACUUGUUUAAGGCCACAAAACCAUCCAAUAUAGCCAAUUUCAAGCUCAAGAAUCAACCACAACAAAGCUGAAAUUUUCCAUAAGCAAGCCAAAAUAACUUGUAAAAGCUAGAAGAUUCACAUGGCAUAGCUACUAAAUCAUGGCCAAGCUCAAAGCAUCAUAUAAAAGCUGAAAUUUCACCAUCAAAGCUGAAAUUUUUUAAUCACCACUCAAACCAUGAAAUUUCUCAUGAAAACUACCAAAAUCAAGCUCUAAAUCCACUCUUAUGCAAGUAUUAAAAGAAAAGAGGGUUUCUUGAUAUAGUUACCUUGAAACCCAUGAAGAUAUGGCAACCAAGUUCUUCUUCCUCCAAAAUCCUUCCACCAAAACCCUUAAUCCUCCCUAAGUGUCAACUUUUAUGGAGUGAUUUGCAAGAUUAAGGUAAAAACUGAAGAUUCAAGUAAGAAUUAGAGGUUGAAGAUGAAGUUUUCCUUCCUUUUUUUCUCUCCAAGGAGUCGGCCAAGACAGGGGAAAAGAUUAUAGGAUUUUUGGUCAAUUUUUGGUUAAUAAAAGGUUAAGAAAGGUCUUAGUCAAAAUCAAUGGUCCAAUGCUUUAAUGACAAAUAGCAUCCAAGGGUUAAUCCUCAUCCUAUUGUCUUCCAAUCACUAAAAUAUCUAGCCAACCUCUAAUUAUCCCUUAACACCUUACAAAAUAAUAUCCGUUUGCACAAAACUCCUUCUAAUUUUUAAAAAUUUAUCGCAUGCACCUCAGUAGUGGGUCGUACUUCCAUAAUGUAUUACGAAAUUAACAUGUACUAAUUUAUACAAGAAAAAUAAUUUAAAAACUUGACUCACCUAUAAAAAUAUUUAGGAAAUGAAGACAAUACGGUAAAGUAACGAAAAUGUAUUCGAAGAAAUAAAAUAAAAUAAAAUAAGAAAAUUUUUUCGAGUCCUCACAACCAGAACCACUUGAUUCUAGCCAAGCUGAAGGUAACAUGGUAAACCAAGGGAUGGGAGGAUUUAAAACCUUUGAAGCAAGGAGAAAAGACAGAACUAUAAAGGGAUCAAGAACUCCUCCUCAGCCUUUUAAAUGUUAAUAGAGGUCUGGAAUAUAAGAGGAUUGAAUGAUCCUCUAAAGCAAAAGAAAAUUGUGAGUUUAAUAUAGGUAAGAGUGUGCAAAAUCGAAAAAUUUCGAUUUACCGACCGAAUUCGAAUUGAAUUGGAAUUUUCAAAAUCGGUAAAUCGGAAUUCGACACUGAAAUUGAAAUUUUUUAUUUCAAAUUAUGCGAAUUUGGUUCGAAUUCAGUAAUGAAAUUUUCGAUUUCGAAUUCAUAAUUCGAAAUCGAAAUUUCUGAUUUCAAUUUCGUUUUAUAAUAUAUAUAUUUAUAUAUAAUAAUAUUUUUUAUUUCAAUUUCAUUUUAUAAAUAUAUAUACAUAAUAAUAAUAUUUUUUAUUUCAAUUUCAUCUUUAAUAUAUAUUAUUAUAUAUAUUUAUAUAUAUAAUAAUAUUUUUUAUAAUAUAUGUAAUAUAAAAUUUAUAUUAUAUAACAAUACAUCUAACAAUAAAGGAAAAAAGGUUUUCGAAUUCAGUGAAUUCGGACUUUGCCGAAUUUCGAAUUGAAUUCGAAAUCGAAUUCAAUUGGUAAUUCUGCUGCCAAAUUUUUGAAAAAUUCAUAAUUCAAGCUUCUAAAUUAUUGAAUUCGAAUUCGUUGCACAUCCCUAAAUAUAGGACUAAAAUCUAAACCUGAUUGGUAUUACUGACAUAAAGCUUAUAAGUCACAAGGUGGAUAAUGUCUUAUCUAGCUAUUUGCAUGGGUGGCUAUAUAUUCAUACUACUCAUUUAUGAGUUUUGAUAGAUUGUGUGUGGGUUAGAAUCUAGACGAUGUUCAAGUCACAAGGCUCUCUAGUCAUCAUCAAGCUAUUAAUGUUCAAGUUACUCCUAAAAGUAAUCUAAAGAGCUUCUUCUAAUCUAUUGUGUAUGCCAUAAAUGACUCUCUAAUUAGAAGGCCUCUCUAGUAGGAAUUGACAAUCUAUGCUAUCAAAUUUAUGGGGAUCCAUCGAUGUUGAUGAGAGGUUUAACAUAGUCAGGUUUUGCCCUGAAAAAUUGGGAGGAAGUGGACAUGAUUUGGAUGCUAUGAAGAAGUUUAAUAACUAUAUCGAUUCUAUUGAUAUAGAGGAUGUUCCUUUAAAAGGAAUCACCCUUACAUGGUGUAAUAGAAGGGAAAAUGAAGUAAGAAUUUAUAGCAAGUUAAUAGAGUAAUGGCAAAUGAGCAAUGUUUUUCUAGUUUCAAAGGGUUGGAGGUGGAGUUUUAUGUCCUAUUAUAUCAGAUCAUACACCUACUAUCAUUACUUUUGUGGAUGAUGUCAAGUUUGGACCAGAGCCUUUCAAGUUCCAUAUGAAAAGCAGUGAAUAUAAAGAUUGUCUAUGUAGGGUCUAGAAAUUCUCUUAUGGUACGGAACCUAUGAAAGCUGUCUGUCAGAAACUCAAGAUGUUGAACGUGGUAUCAAAAAAAAUAAACACUAAGCAUUUCAGUAAUAUUUCACAGAGAGUUCAACACACUAAGGAACAACUUUGUGAGGUUCAAUGUCGUCUUCAAAAUUCUUCUUUUGAUGAUAUUUUAUAGUAGGAAGAAAGAGCAUUGAUACUCCAAUAUAUUGAGCUAAGGUUAAUUGAGAAGCAAUUCUUUAAAGCAAAAUCUAGAGUGAAAUGGCUGACUGAAAGAGAUCAAAACACAUUUCUUUCAUAGAACUAUGAAACAACACCAUUGCAAGAACAAGAUUAUGUAUGGAUGGCAGAUAAUUGAUCGACUGUGAAGAGGUGAAAAAGGAGGCUGCUAAAUUCUUUACACACCUUUUUGGUGAUCCAGAUUCAGGUUUGAAUGAACACCUAUCUGCUUUGGGUUCUUUAAAUCUUUCGAAACUAUCGGAGGAACAAUAGCAUAUAUUGAAGGCUCCUAUAAUUGAUAUUGAGAUAAAAAAAAUUCUUUGUUCAAAAUGAAAAAGGUACUGCACCUAGCCCUGAUGGAUUUACAAUUGAUUUCUUUACCUUAAAUUGGGAUAUAGUUGGUGAGGAGGCAUUAAAAGUUGUUAAGUCUUAUUUUUCUCCAAAUCAUCUCUAUGGUCUUGUAAAUUCUACUAUCAUUACUCUUGUUCCAAAACUUGAGAAAUCUGCAACUAUGAAAGAUUUUCGCCGAAUUGCUUACUGUAAUAUUCUAUAUAAAUAUUUUUCUAAAAUUCUUAUAGAAAGAAUCAAGGGUGUCUUACCUUCUCUUAUUGGCAAACAGCAAUAUGCUUUCAUGAAAGGGAGGUCCAUUAGUGAUAACAUUCUGUUAAUGCAUGAGAUCAUCAAAAAAAUAUCAUCUCAUGAUUGGUAGGCCUAGAUUGGUUGUCAAAAUGGAUGUAAUAAAAGCCUAUGAUUCAAUCAAAUGGCUUUUCUUGAUUGAACUACUUUAUUUGAUGCACUUUCACCCUACGUUUAUACCGUAGAUAAAGAAGUCUAUGUUGAUUUUAGUCCCUAGCUUUUGAUGUUUACAAAACAAAUGGAUGAUACUAAUAUCUCUUCAAGAUAUACUUUCAGUUAUGAAGCAAAUCAGAUUUAAAGAUCAAGUGCAAUUGAAAGAAACAAAAGUUGUUGAAAGCUGUCGGACGCUUGUGAAGACAGGAUCGGACGCCCGAUAAUCAUUGCACAAUUUCGGACGCAUGAAAAACUCCAUCACUGGACGUCCGAAGGAAAUAAGACAUUCCCCCUAACUUACUGACUUCGAUCGGACGCAAGCAUCGGACGUCCGAUAGAAUCCUUCAAACUCUUUGUCUGCUAUCGGACGGAAGUACCGGACGUCCGAUAGGAUCGUUCAAACUCGACGAAACUGUCGGACGCUCACAAGGACAAUACCGGACAUCCGAUGGAAUUGAAGAAAAUUUCUCAAACUCACUGUCAGCUGUCGGACGCAAAAAACAGGAGUAUCGGACGUCUGACACUCCCAACGGCUAGUCAACUCUUCAGCUACUUUCUAUCCGUUGGAAACAUUAAUGAAGCACUUUCCUGGUUUCCUAUAAAUAGAGCAUGGUCAGAAACUCCAAAUAACUUUUGCACAUUGAAGAUACAAAAGAUCUAGAGUAGUUUUAGUGAGAAAACACUCUCCAAAGAAGAUUUGUAGUCUUGGUGGUGUGAAAUUCAUUGUAAGCUUUUCAUUUGUGAGUGAAUACUUCAAUAGUGUAGCUCUGUGAGGGUUGUCCUGAGGGAUAGUAAAACUUCCUUGUUUGACCGAGUGGAGUUUGGGGUAAGGAGGAAGUGAAUCUUCCUUUGUACACAAGAUUGGUUGUACUUCAUCAACUUGAAGAAGCUUGUUCUAUAAAUUGAUCUACAAGCUCAAGAGGAGUUUGAUAGUCAAUUGGUUUGCAAUUCUUCCCUUCUUAUUUACUUAUUGUUAUAUUGUGAUUUUUUAAUUGCUUAUUUCUUCUACUCCCAAGCAAUCGUACUUUCUUACUAAUUGCUACAUUGUGUGGUCACUUAGAAAAGAAGGUAAAUUUCAUUUUGAGCAAAAAAUGCCUAUUACUUGAUUAGCUUUUUAAUCAACCUAAUUCACCCCUCUUAGAUUGUCUUCGAUCUUAACAAUUGGUAUCAAAGUUUGGUCUCCUUGAGAUUAAGCUCAAUCGGCUUAGAAGUAAAAAUGACAACCAAUAAUGCCAUAUUUUUUGAAGGACAUUCUGUCAUUAGACCACCUAUGUUUAAUGGGUCAAAUUAUGUGAGUUGGAAAGAAAGAAUGAUUAUCUUCUUGCAAUCGAUUGAUAUUGAAUUGUGAUUUAUUAUUAGUGAAGGUCCAUAUGAUGCCUCUCUUAUAGAUGAAAAUACUCAUAAAUCUAAACCAAAAACUAGAAAUGAACUGACUGUUGUGGAUAGAGCUCAUCUCACCUUAAAUGCGAAAGUCAUGAAUGUGUUAUAUUGUGCUUUAGAUUCAAAUGAAUCCAUUAGGGUCAAAGGGUGUAAGUUCGCUAAAGAAAUCUGGGACAAAUUUAGAGAAGUUUAUGAAGGAAGUGAGAAUGUGAAAGAACAAAAGAAGUCUAUUCUGGUUACCAAAUAUGAAUCGUUCAAGAUGGAACCUCAUGAAAACAUUGAUAAGAUGUAUUGUAGAUUCAAUGACCUCAUUAAGGAUUUAGAGGUGCUGGAAAAGGAAUACUCUCUAGGCGAGAAAAAUAGAAAAAUUCUGAAUGCUUUAUCAAAGGAUUGGGAGAGUAAAGUGACUGCCAUUGAAGAAGCUAGAGAUCUAAAUUCCUUGCCUAUUGAAUCUCUUAUUAAUUCUCUAAUCUCUUAUGAGCUGAAACUUAAGUCCAAAACAUAAGAGGAAGAGGAUGCGAAAGUAAGAAGGAGCAUUGCUUUAAAGGCAUCUCAAGAUGAAAAUGAUUCUGCCUCCCUAGAUGAAGAAGAUGCGGAAGCUGAUGAUAGUGAUCUAGCUCUCAUCACAAAAAACUUCAAGAGAAUCCUCAACAAACGAAGGUUCAGAAAAGAAGGAAACAACAACUCAUUCCCAAAUCAGUUCAGCAAUACAAGAAACAAAGGAAAGCAAGAGUUCAAUAAAAAGUAAACUGAUAAUUGCUUUGAAUGCGGCCAACCUGGACACUACGUGAGUGAGUGUCCAAUGAAAAAGAGGAAAGUUGAAAGAAAAUCAAGAUUCAACAACUUUCAAUUCAUAUGGAAUGAGUGCAACUCCGAUGGUGAAAUUGAAAAGGAAGAAGAAUUUGCUCAAUUGGCUUUCAUGGCCAUUGGAGAUGAUGAGGUAACAACUUGUAACUCUCAAUUUGAUAGUGAUGGUGAAACUUAUGAUGAUCUUGAAUCUUUCAUUAAAAAGUUACAUGAUAGUUUGAAAGAAUCUUAUACUAGAAACAAGGAAUUAAAAUACAAAAUUUGUUUUCUUCUUCAUGAUAAUACAGGCCUUAUUCAAGAAAACAAGAUGCUGAAAACUGAAAAUGAUUUCUUGAAAAAAAAUGAGAUUGAUUUACAAAAAAAGUUUGAUAGAAAAACAAGACUUUGUGAAAUGUUCAAAAAGGAACAAGAUAAUCUGAAAAAAAGAAUGAAUAAUUUAAAUGGAUUACUCCAAUAUAAGAAACAAAACUGCUUUCAAGAAAAUGGAACAAAACCUCAUUUUGGAACUUAUAAGAAGAAGAUAAAUUCUGCUGCAAAUGAUUUUGCUGUUUAUAAGAGAAAACAAGUAAGAUUUAUUAAACCUGUUCAUAUAAAUAACUCUUUGAUUAUGUGUAAUUUUUGUUGUAAAAAAGGUCACAUGAAAAGCGAUUGAUAUGUGAGAAAGAACAUGAGAAAAGGCAUGAAAUGCAUGUGGAUAGUUAGACAUGAUGCUAACUUUCAAGAAUUCAAAAAUUAAAGGGUACCAAAUAUUAGUUCUUGAACUCUUGAGUAGGUGAAUUUGGUGAACAUUACUAAGGAAUCAAAGUGGGUGCUCAAGAUACAUGAUCGGUGAUCCAUCACAUUUCAUCAAAUUCAAGCCAAAGUCUAGUGACAAAGUGACAUUUGGAGAUGACAUGAAAACUAAAACAAUUGGAGUAGCAGAUAUUGGUAAGAUCGGUGAGAUUCUUCUUCAUAAUGUUCUUUUGCAAUUUUCUUUUGAUGUUUCUGAUAUUUUGAACUGAGUUUUCCUUGAUAUUUUUGAAUAUGACUAAACUUUUAUAAUGACAAAAAGGGGGAGAAAUGAAUGAUACUGAUCUAAUGAUAAUUUUCUUUGAUAAUUAUUUUGAUUGUUAUUUCUCUGUUUGGUAUCAAUUUUCUAUUUUUUGGCUGAUGAUUGCUAACUGUUAGUAUGUUGAUAAUUGCUGAAUUUUGAUAUCAUUUUUCUAUUUUUGUUUGAAAUAUUGGAUUCUCUGUUAUUGUUGCCGGGUUAUGGUUACUGUUUUUUACUCUCAUCUUAUGAUGACAAAAAGGGGGAGAAAUAGAUGCAAUGAGUAAGGGGGAGCUUAUGCUCAAUCUUUUUUCUUUCUUUCAUCCAUUGUUUUGUCAUUAUCAAAAAGGGGGAGAAUGUUGAUCUUAGUCCCUAGCUUUUGAUGUUUACAAAACAAAUGGAUGAUACUAAUAUCUUUUCAAGAUAUACUUUUAGUUAUGAAACAAAUCAAAUUCAAAGAUCAAGUGUAAUUGAAAGAAACAAAAGUUGUUGAAAGUUGUCGGACGCUUGUGAAGACAGGAUCGGACGUCCGAUAAUCAUUGCGUAACUUCGGACGCAUGAAGAACUCCAUCACCGGACGUCCGAAGGAAAUAAGACAUUCCCCCUAACUCACUGACUUCGAUCGGACGCAAGCAUCGGACGUCCGAUAGAAUUCUUCAAACUCUUUGUCUGCUAUCGGACGGAAGUACCGGACGUUCGAUAGAAUCGUUCAAAUUCGACGAAAGCUGUCGGACGCUCAUAAGGACAAUACCGGACAUCCGAUAGAAUUGAAGAAAUUUUCUCAAACUCACUGCCUGCUGUCGGACGUAAAAAACAACGGCUAGUUGACUCUUCAGAUACUUUCUAUCCGUUGGAAGCAUUAAUGAACCACUUUCUUGGUUUCCUAUAAAUAGAGCAUGGUCAGAAACUCCAAAUAACUUUUGCACAUUGAAGAUACAAAAGAUCUAGAGUAGUUUUAGUGAGAAAACACUCUCCAAAGAAGAUUUGUAGUCUUGGUGGUGUGAAAUUCAUUGUAAAUUUUUCAUUUGUGAGUGAAUACUUCAAUAGUGUAGUUCUGUGAGGGUUGUCCUGAGGGAUAGUAAAACUUCCUUGCUUGACCGAGUGGAGCUUGGGGUAAGGAGGAAGUGAACCUUCCUUUGUACACAAGAUUGGUUGUACUUCAUCAAUUUGAAGAACCUUGUUCUAUAAAUUGAUCUACAAGCUCAAGAGGAGUUUGGUAGUCAAUUGGUUUGCAAUUCUUCCCUUCUUAUUUACUUAUUGUUAUAUUGUGAUCUUUUAAUUGCUUAUUUCUUCUACUCCUAAGCAAUCGUGCUUUCUUACUAAUUGCUAUAUUAUGUGGUCACUUAGAAAAGAGGGUAAAUUUCAUUUUGAGCAAAAAGUGCCUAUAACUUGAUUAGUUUUUUAAUCAACCUAAUUCACCCCCUCUUAGGUUGUCUUCGAUCCUAACAGUCUGUGACUACAAUCAACUUUUGCACUCAAUUUGAUGGGUCUUUGGUCGGAUAUUUUAAAAAUGAGAAGGGGUUAAGGCAUGGUGAUCCUAUCUCACCUUACCUAUUUGUAUUGGUGAUGGAGGUCUUCUCUCGCAUGUUGACUAAGAAUGUCCAAAAGCAAGGCUUUGAUUAUCAUCCGAAGUGUGAAAUAUUGCAUCUGACCUAUCUCAAGUUUGCUGAUGACCUAUUUUUGUUGGGAGCUGCUAUUGAAAGAUCUAUAAAUGUUUUCAAAGAAACAUUAUUGGAAUUUCAACAGGUUUCUAGUCCAAAACCAAAUCUCUAAAAGAGUGAAAUGUUCUAUGCAGGCUUUUUGAGUGAAAAACAAAUGCUAAUGAGUAAGAUGUUGGAGAUGCCUUUGAGUACAUUACCUAUAAAAUACUUGGGCAUAUUACUCAUAUCUACAAGAUUUACAGCUAAAGAUUGCACCACAUCGAAGGACAAGAUCAUUGCCAAAAUUAGAGGUGUAGACACUAAAAUUUUCUUAAUUCCAAGUAUACUAUUUUUAUUUUUCACUUAUAAAUUGCAUAAAUAAUUAUUUUAAUUUUUGUUUUGUAGGUUUGUGCAAAAAGAAAGAAAAGAAAAAGUAAAAUGGAUGUUCAAAAUUGAAGAAUUUGGUAGAGAUUUUUAUUGUGUUUCAAACACAAUAAAAGAAAAACCAAACCCAACCACAAAACCUACAAAAAAUCCACCCAAAAUCCAAAUGAAAUCCAAACAAGACCCUAUGCAAAAACACAACAAAAAGCCUACUCGAAGCCUAGCCAAAGCCUGGAAAGAAAGAAAAUAAGAGAAGGCUCGAUUGAUCCAAUUCCUUUCUUUCCUAAACAAAAAAAACUAUUGCUUCAUGUGCGUGUGCGCGCCAUAUUCUUCCUAUUUUAGCAGACGAAGGAACCAGUACAAGAAGAAACUGUGAGCAGUUUCUUUCAUAGUAAGAAUUUUUUUUUCCUUCUUUCUUUCUCCCCAAGGCUGGGUUGGUACAAGAACAGCUCAUUGCAUCCCAAAUUCUAUCUUUUAAGAUUCAAAAAAAGGACACCUCAUCAUUUCUAGAAAAUUCAUCCUACCUAUCAUUUCUAGAAUUUAGGGUUUUUUGAUUUCAUAUAAAUAAGAAACAAUGCAGCUUUUAGGGUUUAAGAGCAACUUUUGUGUUGAAACCUUUUGCUGAUAAUCAUUAAAACCCCUUCAAAUUGAAGCUCAAAUUCACCCUCCUUGAAAAAGUUUUCUGCAAAAGUGGGAACAGGCUGGUCGACAAGCCCUGUUCAUCCUCAUUUUCCCACUUCGUUUGAGAAAUUUGGAAUGAGUUUUGUUUUACUGCACCUUCUAGGAUCAUAGUAGAAUGAUUUUGUUGUUGAAAGUUUUUAGGAAAAACAGUUCUAAGGCCCUCAAAUCAAAGCUUGAAAUCGUCAUCCUCACAACUCUUGGCACCAGUAGCAGUCAUCAGGAUUUUUGCUGCACUUCGAUUUUUGCGAGUUUUCCCAAAAUUUUUCACUCUCAAUCUGAUUCCAUAAGCAUCAGAGGUAACAUUUAUUCACUUUUCUUGUUGAUUCCAACUUGUAUAAGAUCUAAGUUUAUCAUAUAUGAAUUCCAAGUUCUUGUUUUUUUUUACCAAGUUUGAUGAUUUGAGUUUGUCUCUUGUUGAUGCUCACUCAAUGAUUUCCAAGCUUAAAAUGAUCUCUUUAGCCAUUUCAUUUGAAGUAGUAAAAUGCCGAAAACUAGGAAAAUGAACUUUAGCAUCAUUUGCAGCUUUGUAGCUUCUAAAACUAAACCCAUGUUUCCUGAUUUUGUGUUUGGGUUUGGAAUCUUUGAAGGAAAUUUAUUUUACUCAUGAACCUAGGGAGUAUAGGCCGCUUGAUUGUUUCCUUGCAUUGUAGAACUUGUGUUUUGGGUUAAAAUAAGAUAUAAAUUGGUUAACAAGAAUUAUUUCUUUAGUAGCUGUGCACGCUUGUUUCUUCUCCUCUCGGUAGGCUGCUGCAUAGAAUGAUGUUCAGACUUGUCAAAUUUGACAUGGGUUCUAAGAAGUUGGCAUUUUGAACCCCCCCCCCCCAAAUUUUGCAUAAUUGUCUUAAGCCCCAAAAAUCAUGAAAAUGAAUUAAUUUCUUUUUAUAUGUUUUAUGCAUGUUUUGUUUUGAGAGAAUUAAUUCUCUAAGUAUAAUUGGAGCUUAAAUAAAAUUUGUUAAAUUUAGAUUUUUAAUUAGACAACUUUAAAAAUUAAUGCAAAUAAUUUUGGUUUAAUGGGUUAGUGUUUUAUUUUCGCUUGGGUUUGUGACAUAGGAUUUAGAGUUCAAACCCGAUAUUUUUAUUAGAUUUAUGUUUAUAAACUGAAUUGGACUACGCUACUCUUUUCAAUAGGACAUUUUGCUUAUUUUUCAUGGGCCAAAGCGAAGCGGCCAAAAUGUAUAAAAAUGGCCCAACAUAUUGUUUUAAUGUAAUUAGAAAUAAAUUUUGCAAUUUAACCUCUAAUCUUUUGUGUAAUUUUAUUGUAAUCCUAAAAUUUUGGAUUUCUUUCAUUCAUGCCCUUAAUUUAAUUAUAUUUUGGCCCCUAAACUUUAUCUUUAUUUAAUUUUGACCCCUAAUCUUCUUGAGAAUUAUAAUUUGACCUCAAACACUUUCUAAUUUUUGUAAUUUAGUCCCUAUUAGUUUUCGAUUUCUCAAUUACAAUUGCUUCUCUUUUUUAAUUGCUAUUUAUACUUCAUUUAAAAUGCAUUUAAUUUGUAAAUUCUAAAUGUUUUAUGUUUAUGUACAUGUUUUUGUAAUAAUAAGGAGAAUUUAGUAUAUGUUCACGAUCUUUUAAAGUGUUGUCAAUUAAAUUGGUGCAUUAACCCAUUUGUUGAUUUUGAAAAAAUAAACAACUCUCCCUUCCCAUCACUUAGAAAAAGGGGAGGUACCCCUAUUAUCCUUUAAAUUCCUUUUAUGUGAUCCUACGUAUUUAUAUGUUUUAUUUGUUUUCAUUUUAUUUAUUUAUUUAAAACUUUUAUUCAUUUUAUUUUUGUUUAAUUUAAGUGUUAUGAUUAUUUGGAGGGCAUUUAAAUGCCCAAAUUGUAACGAGAUAGGUAAUGUAAUAGAUAUGUUUUAGUUUUGCAAGAAAUGUUAUUAGUUAGAUGAAUGUAAUAGAUAGGUUAGAUAGAUUUAUUAUCUUAUAUUUCCCCUUUUAGAUUGUAGUUAGGACCCAUAAUGUAAUAGUUAGGUCUUAUGUGCUUGUGUGUUUACAUAUUUAUGUGGUUUAUUCGUUUUCUCUAGAGUUUUACAACUAGAUAUUGUGCCUAUGUGUCUAUGUGCUCUAUAUGUUCUAUGUGCUUUAUGUUUAUUUGUUUUAAUUAUACUUUAUAUACUUUAUUUAUAAUGAGUACAUGACAUCAUCACACUAGUUAAUGCUGGUUGUGGCUUUUCUCCCCGAUUUCUCAUUAGUCCAAUGUUAGUGAGAACUUAUAGAAAUGGAUUAGUACAAUGCUAAACUCUUAACUAUUUACAUGUUAGAUUUAUAUUUUGUGUGACAUUUAUUGUCUUUCAUGCAUUUUUCCAUUUUAGGUUAUUUCCAUUUGCAUGAUAUGUCCUCUUAUUUUCGGUUAUUUCCAUGUGCACGAAUCAUAUCAUUUACACUUGCAUUUCAUUUAGAUAAUUAAAAAAAAAUUAUGUUAGCUCAUUUACUUGUCUAGAUUAGAAGUGUCACCUUUCAAAUAUGGGAAAUAAACAAUAUAGUUUUUUAGACUUAGCAUGCUAUUACUUCUCUAUAAGAAAAAAAAAUUGUGUUACGAAUUUUAGAUUUCCGUAUCUGUUAUGUUGCAUGCCCCUAUUCUAGAUCAUGUAUAUCAUAAAUUUUUUUUGGAAUCUCAUCUUUUACAUAUUCGUGACGUCAUCAAGAGAUUAUUCUUGGACUUCACAAUUAAUGUGAUUCGUACCAAUUAAAUUUUGAAGAAAUAUUUCAUCCCUCUUGAUACCCCCUAAGUUUAGAUUUGCAUCCAUAUAGAAACAUUCAAAUGUGAUAAAGUUUUAGAGGUUAGAUUAGGAAUUUUUUUGAUUAAAUCGCGCAAUUAGUAUUAGUUAAGUUAAAAGGGUGCCUUAGAUUUGAGUCGAUCAAAAUUUUGCUUUUCCUUUCUUUAACCAUAACUCCCAAACUCUUUUCUUUCAUAUUUAAAAACAUGGAGUCGUUUAAAAAGAUUUUAUUUGUUUUCAUUUAAAAUAUAUUUUGGGUGACUUGUUACACCUAAAUUCGAUAUUAAGUGGUGACUUUCUAAAAACCCUUUUUAGACUAUUAUUUUGGCUUCAAACCAUCGCAUAUUCUAAGUUUUAUUUUAGGCUUUUUUUUUUUUUUUCUAAAAUCAAAAACUCAUUUUUAACACAUCUCCUUUUAUUUCAAAAAAUAGAGCGUGACAAUGAGCUAGUAUGUUAAAAAGCUAUCUUAUGGAUCAUUGCCAGAAUUAGAGGCUGCUAUGUCAAAAAAUCAAGAGAAGAUUACAGGAUCUGAAGCCAACCCGGGCUAAGUCCAAACAACUUUUGGGCGAAAUCCACCAAGUAGAAAAGGCUAAUCCCUGAUAUGGGGACGAGCCCAAGCAUAUAAACCACUUCUUUUCCUUCCAAAAAUCCGAUGUGGGACUAAUAUCUUUAGGGACAGCAGUUCUGGCCUCACACCUGGGACUAAAUCCGAUGUGCACAUGACCUUAUCACGGAAUCUGGCUAAACCAAGUGUGCAAAGUAAAAGAAAGACAAACUGAACCUAUUACAGUAUCAAGUUUUCCUUUUGUUUUUAGUUUUUUGUCUAUAUUUUUUAUUUCUUUGAGUCAAUUCAUGGGUUCAAGCACGAAACACACAGAGGGACCAAAAUGGUGUUAGCACCUACUGGUACUUACAUUUUCUUUUUUGGAUAUCCAUCGUCUAAUGCGGUUAAUUUUUCUUACUCCUUUUCAACAUAUAUAGAAUAAGAGCCGAAGGCCUCUUGUGACCUGGAAUGGUUUUCGUCGUCCUCGCACGUGCCGCACAUGUGAGUCACCAGCCCUUUUUUUUCUACGCGAUGCUCCACACGUCUGCAUAUACUUCCUCUCUAGGGUUUUCUUAAAUUUCCUCUGCUGCCGCCGCCUUCUCUUCUCCCCUUCUCUCUUCGCCUCACCUUUAUUCUCAGAAGCUCCGUCUCCUCUACUUUAUUUUCUCUUCUCCAAAACAUUCGAUCUCUCAUUUUUUUCCCCUUUCUCUCGGUUUUGUGUUAAAGCCUUCAUUGCAUUGAAUUUUUUCACUUUUUUUAGGUUGCAACUAGAAUGAUUUUUAAUUUCUGGACUCUUAUUCUCCGUCUAAGAUGGAGUUGGAAGCGCCUCACCCGAGAGUCUCUUCACUCGAAAAAGCCCAUUUCCCGAUUUUGACACAUCUGCUCUGGAGUUCGUCUAUUCUUUUACUCCGGCGACCCAUAAAUGCCGCCACCUUGCCCGCCUUCCACGAAUUAUUCUUUUUUCGUCUCGUUGCCGCCCAUUCUCGUGUUCAGAGUGAUUGAUUGUGGUAUGUUCUCCGAUUACAGUUAGCAUUUUGAGAAUCUAACUUAGAGCUUAUCCACUUCAAUCUUUGAAUGUUGCACCGCUAAAACCCUAGGUUUGGCACACUACCGGAUUUCUGGAAUUCCGGAGAUCUGGUAAUAAUAGAAUAUCUUCUUCUCUCUCUCUCUCUCUCUCUCUCUGGUUGUGUUUUAAUUUUUUUUGUUAACAUAACAACCAAGUUGAGUUUCCCUGGCAUUUCAUUAUGCAAUACAGGUUGCUGAUUUGGGUUCUUUGGAACUCUCACCAGUGGAUGGCCGAACGUUGACUGAUUUUAUGCAUACAAGAGGCCUUAGGAUGCGUUCUCUUGGACAAGUUGUAAGUGGUUUUACAGUGAUGUGGAUUUCCCACAUUGUACUAGAUUCUUUUACAUCAGAUAUGCAGUAUUAGCACCAUGUUUUCUGUGCAUUAUAACUAAUUUGCCAUGUAUCACUUCCAGUGGUACUGAAAUUGCACAGUUGAAAUUCAAUUGCAAAAACCUUUACCAUUCACUAGAGGAGAUGAGAACAAUUGUUCAAUUUCAACCUCUCACUGGAAAACAUAUUAUGUUUGUAUAGAAAAUGGAUUUUGUAUAGCAUCCUUGUUAUAGUUAUUUAAAAAACUAAGAAUAAUAGUUCUGUGCAUUAUUGUUGCACUUUAAUCUUUAUUUUCUAAAAAAGCUGUUUCCUGUAAUAUGGUAUAGUUCUAAUAUGUACAUUAAACAGUUGCUCUGAAAAAAAUAUGUUGAUCUAUGGUUGUUUCUCUAAUAAAAUAGGUAAAAUGCUAAUUAAAUGUGGUAGGAUAUUUUUACAAUUUAAAUGCAGCAAUGUCUCUUAGUAAUGUGCAUUGCCAACAAGAUGCAAAUGUUUGGCUUAGAUUAGAUGGAGGAAACAUGAAUACUAGCAAGAUAUGCUUUUUUCAUUUGAUUUUGUACAAAUGUACUUUAUCUUAUUAGCAUAUUAUGGAUAGUCUGCUUUAUGAUAGUCUUUGGCACAAACACGCUACCUGUUUGUUCUACUUUGGUCUCAUUGAGGUUCAAUUGGUCUUUGGACAAUAUAGAGCCUGAUAAAUCUAUUAACUAGAGAAGUCAAUGCUUUAGUCUAUGUCUCAUUAACAUUCUUUUUCUUCAAUCUUCUGAACAUGCAGCAUCCAACUCCUGAUCCUUACGUUUGCCUGGAAUACGCCAGCACUAAAUUCCGUACCCGUACCCACACAGGUAUGUAAUUCUUAUUAUUUCCUCUUUUUAUCUUUGUUUGAUUGUUUUUUCAAUUACUACUAAUAUUCGAGCUUGUAAGAAAACUCUCCAUUUUGUUGCCUAACUAUUCUAUUCUACUGCUACUUAAUUACUUAUGUAGACGGUGGAAAAAACCCUACUUUUCAAGAGAAAUUCAUCUUCUCCUUGAUUGAAGGGCUAAGGGAGAUCACUGUUGCUGUUUGGAACAGCAAUACCAUUACUUAUGAUGAUUUUAUCGGCAAUCGAAAGUAAUAAUGUUUUCUUUAACUUUCUGCCUUUUGUUUUCCCUGCAUUCUAUUCGUUGUAUUAGUUUGAGUAUUUUCUUUUUAUUCUAUACUUUUAGAUGAUUUAUUAUUUUUUUCCAAUUAUUGUUAAUCUAUUAGGGUUCAGCUGCAGAAAGUUCUUUCUCAGGGAUUUGAUGAUAGUUCUUGGCCACUUCAAACUAAAACCGGCAGGUAUACUCUGCAAAAGAUAAAAAGGGACAAUUACCUACCAUAUUCAUUCUUUUGUAGGUUAAUACAUACUUGAGCAUUUAAACAUAUGGUGUGUGUGUAGGGAAAAUACCUAAUAGUAUUUUCUGCUCCAUCUUGCCAUUUGGGUAUUAAUAAGUAGGAGAAAGAUAUUUUGCAAACUGAAACUGCUUUGGAGUCAAACACUUUAGAAGUCUAGAAGGUUACAUUGGUUCGAGCUUUUGUGGAUUAGCACAUAUUUUCAAAGCGACAUCUCAUUUUUUUUCCUUUCGCUUGGUUUUAUGUUAAAACCUUCAUUCCAUUGAAUUUUUUUCACUUCUUUUUAGGUUGCAGCUGGAAUAAUUUUUAAUUUCUGGACUCUUGUUCUCCGUCUAAUAUAGAGUUGGAAGUGCAGAAACAUCUUCCGCCACUUGUUUUGUUUUUUGCCCUUUUUAAGGUACUAUCUUCUUUGUUCUGAUGUUCUUUCCCAUUUUUCUAUUUCCUUUGUUCAAGCUUUUGUGGAUUAUCCCUUGUUCGAGCUUUUGUGGAUUAGCCCAUAUUUUCAAAGCGACAUCAUCUUACAAGUUUUCCCAUCCUUGAUGGAUAGGGGCAAACUUGAUGCUUUAUUAUAGGUUUUGCUUAUCAUGCCUUGAUUUUUUUGAUGUAGAAAAUGUUCAAUUUAGCAAAUUAAUAUGCCUUUCAUCCUUUUCUUCUGCCUUUUGUUUUAUUACAGGGGAAGGAAUAUGUAUUUGUUGCAAAUUCAAAUAACUUGGAUGCAGCUAUUGAUUUAAGUAUCCUUGAUUAGUCUGAUGGCCUGACAUCUGUUUCCCAAUAUAUAAUGCUUAAUCACUUGAUUAGUCUGAUGAUCCUUGUUCUUGGGGAAGAGACACCACUAGCAUAAAUAAGGCUCAGUAUUACGAUAAAGUCUGAGCCUCUUGGGGCUUGAGACCUUAAAGAGUCAAAACUCAGGAAAAAUGAAUGGAUGAGGCACCCAGAGGGCCAGGCAGUUUUUCAAAGUGUUGUUUCCCCUUUCUGUUUUGCCAAUGAUUUCCAAUUUUUGUUGUCUAUACAGAAAGAAAAUAGAAAAUCACAGCCCUUUCUAAGCAGACAGAUAGAUACAAUAGUAUUAUUUCUUGAACUGUGCAUUUGGAAAUGGAAUUUGAAUUGGGGACUUCAUUUGAUUAUCUUUGAAAGUGCUUGUCGAGAAGUCAUCACAUUUCAUGGAAACUUUUCAUUGUUGAUGUGAUCACCUUCGACAAAGCAUUUUUCUUCAUCAGGGCUUUGUUGUUUAGUGAAGGUUUUUGGCUGUGAUGAUAGAGUUAUUUUCUUGAGUUGUUGGCAUAGAGUUAAAUCGGGUUGGUUUCUGGCUGUGAUGAUAGAGUUAUUUUCUUGAGUUGUUGGCAUAGAGUUAAAUCUGACCCGUAUCUUGGCUAGGCAACCCUGAUGGCAUGUGAUCUGAGAGGGGGUGGGCUUUCAAUUAGCUCCUCCUUUCUCCCUCACAUAUGCAACUAGGAAAUUGCAGCGAUGGCGUUGUCGCCUCGUCUUUUGCCUUGUCUUGUUACAGAUCUGAACCUACUCCAAUACUCACAUAGUGUAUGAUGAUGGACCUUUAUCAUGUUCUUUAUAUUUUUCAUGAAAGAUUUCCCCUGCUUAAUUCCUUAAAUUCCAUAACCUUUUGGUAUCUCAUGUUACUUUCUUUGUUUUGGUGUAAAAAUGAUUGCCUUCUGCACCACUAUUGCAGUUUUUUAACAAAAAGUUCAACAAUUCUAGAACUAAAUCACUGGUAUUUUUGUAUUUGUGAUCUACCUUUUAGGUUGCUGUAACCUUAAAAGUCCUUCGGUACUUACCCUCAAUAAAGGUGAAUUAUUUAGAAUUGCUUUGACUGUUUGGCUAAGUAUGUAUAAUCCCCUUGGCGUUGAGAUUAUCAAAAAAGAAAUAUGACUUGUAUUAACUCAGCUAAAAUCUCAUCUUUACAGAAAAAAGGAGAAUUACAAAUGAAAUCAAUUGGUAUGGCCCCUUAAUCUCUUUUUAAUAUCCUAAGCUACUAAGGUUGCCCUAUUAUAAACAUUUGGCAUUAUAAUUACUUGUGCAUCAAUUUUUGUUCUUUUUUAUGGUUUCCUUUGUCAACAUAUGUAGAAUAAGAGCCGAAGAGCUCUUUGGUUGGGUUUUAUCUUAACCGUCUUCUCACAUGCCGCUCACAUGAGUCACCAGCCUUUUUUUAUCGCGCGAUUGCUAGACGUCUACAUAUACUUGCAGGCGUCUACAUAUGAUGCUUAAUCACUUGCUCUAGAAUACUUUUCAUUGUUGAUGUGAUCACCUUUGACAAAGCACUUUUCUUCAUCAGGGCUUUGUUGUUUAGUGAAGGUUUCAGGCUGUGAUGAUAGAGUUAUUUUCUUGAGUUGUUGGCACAGAGUUAAAUUCGACCUGUAUCUUGGCCGGGUAACCCUGAUGGCAUGUGAUCUGAGAACGGGGGGCUUCAAUUAGCUCCUCCUUUCUCUUUCACAUAUGCAACUGGGAAACUGUAGCCAUGUCUUUGGCCUCGUCUUGUUACAGAUCUGAGCCUCCUUCGGUACACACACAGUGCAUGAUGAUGAUGCUUUAGCAUGUUCUUUAUAUACUGUACCAAUAAUUUGAUCCAUGAGAAUGACAUGGCCUUCUUGAGAAUCAAGGAAAAUUUAUCCUAUGAUUUCAUGGCGUUCUGCACUUUCCUUUGCCUAUGUUUUCAAGCAUUGCAUUCAAUGUUGAAGCAUGUGAUUUUUUGUUCAGACAUCAGCCCAAUUUAUGUACUAUCACCUCCUCCAUAAAUCAGUUUCUGCAGCACGAUUGGACAUCAUUUGUUUCUUUCUAUCAGUUUUAUACAAGUGGUUCUAAGGUCUGCUUGGUAAGUGCUUUCCUUUAUACAAUUUGUUCAUAACUACAUUCUUUAGUGAUCUAACAAACAUUUGUUUUUAUUUUUUUAAAUAGGCCUUUCCACAAUAUGCUGAUAUUUGACUACGUGAAGGCACAACACCAACAGUGAUUUUUACAAGUGGCUAUAAAACGUAUUGCAUUGGCAUGAAACAAAGAUCCUUCGACAAGAAUUGGGCCACUUUUGCAGCCGAACAUGUUUUUUGCCCCGGAGACAUAUUGCUUUUUAUUCCACAAUCGCUCAUCUCUUUUGGUGUUAUCAUAUUCAACAAAAAGGGCAUUGAAAAACUAUAUUCAUGGCAUUUUAAUUUCACUAUUCAUCUAACUUAGUCCAUAUUACCAAGUACUGCGAUAGUCUUAGAGAACAAAUUGUAGUUGAUAAGUACUAGAACUAAACUCUUAUGUCGCUUCCCAUUAUGUAUCUUGCUCCAUUCAAUUAGGAGCUUUCUUUAUAUGAAAAGUGUUUUCAUUGUAUAUCUUGUUCUGUUCGAUUCCUUUCCUUCUUUAUAUGAAAAGUAGUAUAUGUUCCUGUUUAUAUUGUGCUCCUGUGUACCUCAUCUACCACCAAAAAAAAAAACCCAUUCACCUAAGCUACUAUAAUCUCCUCCGAUAUUUUCCUUCCACAUCAUAUGCUUGUCUGGGCAUCUUCUCUUUCUAUACCACCGCGCACCGCGCGGUUUAUGCCUCCUAGUACUAGUAUAUAGGUCAUCUUACCGUGAUGAAAUAUGCAUCAUUGCAUUACCUUGUAUGGCAAUCGGCAUACAUAAUUUCGAAGAGGAAAAUGAAAUUAGAAUCAAAUAUGAUAACUAAACUUGAUUAAUUCAUUUUCAGUUCCGUUGUAAGCACUUUAAUUUGAGGAUGAAGCCUUGUCUACAUAACAAUUAGUGUAGUAUGGGGCAUAUGUUACUAACAAAGAAAAAACAAUUUUAACAUCAGUUGACAACAAAAAGCCAAUCUAACAAAAAGAACAAAAAACUCAUCACCACCCUAAAUAACAAUUAAACACAAGCAAUUUGUGCUACUUAAAUAUCAUAUUCACGGUUGUCCCAGAAUUCCCGCCUUAAUUUCAAAUACAUAAAGGAAGCCAUAGCCAAUAAAACAAAAGUCAGGAAAACAUGGUAAUAGAAAUGACCAAUGCCAGCCCAUACAAAGAAAGGAAAAUAAAAUUAGUCAAAAAGAAAAGAUUAAGAAAUGAAUGACCGCCUAUCAACAACACACUUUUGUUCAAGAGGGUCACCUAUCAUUCAAGAGUUUUCAGCAAAACAGGUACAUUUUUCAGACGUGAAACUUCUAGUGUCUAAUCAUUAUUAAGAAAUCUGCAUAAAAAAAAAAAAAGAAAAAUCAAUUGCAGUGCAAUUAAAUUUUGUUGGACAAAUGCUAGACUCAAUAAUCAAAGAUAUUUUAUCCUUUUUCAGAAAUAUCAAAAUGAGCUUCAUCGAAUAUGACAAACUGUUGUAUCAAGCUCUAUAUACAAUAUAGGCAUAGGAUUGUGUAAAGAAAAUGAAAAUCUUCUCAAAUUAACUGGCCAUAAAGAAACCAAUCAGAUGGACUUUUAUACUGGUUGUAAAUGGCUUUGGUACGGGGCUGAGAAAGAAGGGAUAUUAAGGCUCAAGGCACCCAUUUUUCUGGUUAAAUUCAUCGCAUGAUCACCAUAGAACGGUUGUUCUACCAGAUUCAUUUAAACUGCCUGAAUAAUGAAACAAAAUUGUUCCUUGUCAUGACUGCCACAAAAUUAGUCAGCAUUGGACUUUCAUGAGCUUGUAAUAAGGCUGGGGAUAGGUUUGAGCAAAGAAAUGGAUAGUGAAGGCCCAAAAAACAAACAUUCAAAAGGGUUCUAAACCUGUGACCGCUUUACAAAAUGCCUGUCACGCCAUAAUUUGGGGCUCUUGAAUUCUUCCAGAUUUUUUACUUUCUUCACAAAAUGAGCCUUCUUGAUUUUGAAAUUUUAGUCUCUUCCCCAUCAUGCUUUUUUUUUCGUAGGAGAAGUAAUCAUCGCUAGGUCUUGAGACUUGAGCACUUCUCAAUCCUUUUUUUUUUUUUUUUCAGAGCUCUUCUCAAAUUUUUUUUUUUUUUUGUUGAGCUCUUCUCAAUGUUUCUAUCUUUUUGGAGCUCUUUCCUUUUUUUUGGAGCUCUUUUCAGUUUGUUUCAUUGGCUUUUAAGAAAUAAACAUUUUAAACUCUUUGAAUUUGGAGCUCUAACAAGCGUAAGACUUCAACAACUUGUCCUUCAUUUCAUUGAUAAUCAGCAAAUUGUCGUCUACUAAAUUUUGAAUUUGAUCUCCCUCAAUAUCUAACCCCAGUGUGGGGCACGGUCAACAGGGGGUUAAAUAAAAAGAAUUAUCAACUUUGAAGGCUCAAAGGGGAAAACAAAGGCCAAUAUGUUUAGAUAAAGAAACGAAUGCCAAAAACAUCAUCCUAUUUUCGAGGCGAUCAAGAUUAGGAACAAUCCAUCAAGCAGCCAAAAAGAAUUAAGUAGCACAACCCAUAAGUGUGGGUGUUUGUCAAGGGGUUUUGGAAAUAAACACAAUUCAAAGUCCCAAGGGGGUCGACAAGGUUUAAACUGCAUAUGGUAGUAGGAAGAAAGCCAUCAUCACAUUGGUCUAUUUGAGUCCAGUCCUAAGAGAACUAAAUAAGUGAGGUAUAUGAAGUUGCUUGAUUCACAUUUAGAUGGUUCAGAAAUGCACAACAUAUGCCACAAAUUUACUAGCCACAAGGGUCUGAACAGGAGAACAUAGAUGGUUUAGAGAUGCACAACAUGUGCCACAAUGUUGCAAGGGUUUGUUUGGAUUGCUUCAUAUUUCCCCAAUUUUAUUUACUUACAUCAUCUUUACAAUUUCCAAUACACCUUUUUAUCUUCCCAAUAUCUUUUUAUCUCACAUACAUCACAUCACAAAAAGUGCUACAGUAAAAAUAUCCCAAAUAAUCCCAAAUAACUUACAAUCGAAACAGACCGAUGCACAACAUGCACCACAAAAGUCAUAAUGACAAGAUAGAUAGUUUGAACAUGAGACAUGAGGUUCAAGAAUCUGGCUUUUAUUUUUGGCUGAUUUUGCUACCAACUUCUAGGUUUUAGUUUGCCAUAUUCGAUGGAAAUUAUCUUCUUAUUUCUUCAAAAAGAUAUUUCAACUUUGAUCUCGAAGUGUGCCCAAAGGUGAAAUUAUACCUUCAAUUUUAAACCAAGGCAUUCAUCCAAGAAAUUUAGAUUGCACAAUAAUUCAGAAGAAACGUUGAAAAUCUAUUUCCAAAUCUACUUGUAGAAACAAUAUGAAUUUUGAACAAAACAGAAAUUUGUUGUUAUGAUUCUGCGGUGACCAUUGAACGUGGUAAUGAAAUUGAUAAGCCUUUUUGUACCAUACACGCUAGAUGAAGUAAUAAAGUACAAGAAACCAAGACGAGUAAGAGUUGGGACAAGAAUAGUAAGAAGACCAGAAAGAGAGAUAAGCAUGGUGAUACUAACAUUUCAAACCAACACUUGCCAUUUCAUCAGGACCACAUAAAUAGCUACCUAAAAAGUUCAGCAUCUUACAAAACAAAUAUAAGGAACUCAAAAACUCCACAAUGAAUAGACAAGAUUUUCGUUUCAAUUAUCAGCAUUGAGCCAAUCCUGGAGAAAAUAAGAGCAGUAUAUUACAUUACCCAUGUAGUUAUGCUUCAAAGACAUAUCAAGCUGCCUUUCUAAUGAUUCAAGUUCAUUGCUGUUUAAAGGACCAAGAUCCUCACCCAAAAGAUUCCAAGCAUCACAAUGAUGAAAAUGAAAUUGAUGCUACUGUCUCAUUCUCCAGCAGUAAAGCACCUAUGCCAUCUUUGCAUGGCUUCGUAAGAUUCAUUAUGCUUCAAAUUCUCCUACUAAUUAUAAACUGCUACAAGCAAAACAGUAUGUAAUUAAGAGUCCGAAUUUUAGAAAGAGAAUAAUGCAACAAAAGGCAUCUUCACACAGAGAAAAUCAAACAAGGUGAAAGCGAAUGAACCAUGCAAAAUUUCAGGUCUGCCCUAAAAAUCUUGUAAUUUAGACGAAAAGAGUGAAAUAACUACAAACAAGCCAAACAGCAAUUGAAAGAUUAAAACUUGAAAAGAAAAACAUAUCCAAUACUCCACUUCUAACACAUGCAAGUAGCAAAAUUAGUGUAAAUUUUCUAAGAAAUUCCACAACCAACAAAAUGCACAGGCAACAACACAUAGAUUGAUAAAGAAAAUCCGGCUACUACUAAACUAUUGCAAGAACAAACUUGUUACGAUACUUUUUUUUUUAAAAAAAAAUUAUCAACUGAAGAGAUACGUGCCGCAAUUAAUUCAGAAAUAAAAUCUAACUCACCUCAAAAGCCAUAGUAACCAGACCCUCUAUCUGAAAUCUGUGACAAACAGUAUCAAAUAAAAGAAAAUCAGCACUAAAACAUUCGUCAAAAAAGAUGAACCAUAAAAACAUGAAAAACAUGCCAUUAUUAGUAUGCGAAUACCAUGAAAUGUUCUGACCAGCGAAUAGAAGAUUGUAAAAUACAUGUUAUGUAUGUUAAAAUUCUGGCACCAUAAAUAAAAUUGUAAAGUACAUGUUUGCAAGUACACAGAGCACCAUCUCCUCAAGCAAGAAAGAAGGUACGUCCAAGAUUUUCUGGAACAUCAUGUUACAAGAACUUGUCUAAUAGAUUCAUGUGGAUUUUCUUUAUAAGUUGUGAUUCUGCAAAUUUGAAAGAACAUGCACCAUAUUUCAACUGACCCUAUAGAAUGUGAAAACCUAUAAUCUUUUAUAGGAUCUUUACUGCACUUUCUUGUGUUAUUAUUCAUUUCCAAAUUGUUGUUGUCCAUUGAUUCUUUUCCUCAACUAGUACUCUUAUGCACCCAAAACAUUCAUUUUACUCUUUUUGUCAAAACUAAUCCAUGAUGCACAUUCUAAAUAUACAUAUCAAAAGUAUAGAACUCAUACAUUUUACAUUGUAAACAACUGUGAACAUGUAGUACAACCACAUGUUAACAACAACUUCACACCAAAAUUGAUACCAUUGCAUGAUGAAAUAUCAUAAAUUACGAGAUGCCUGUAAAUUAAAAAAACAGAAUUCAGUAGAUAAAUAUAGGCAUUUCCAUAUCUCAACAACAAGACAACUAAAUCCAUUACAAAAUAUAAACAAAAAGAAAAGGAAAAGAAAGGCAAAACUUAGAAAAACAUUACAGAAAAAUUACCAAAAAAAAAAAUCAAAUUUGUCCAUGUAAAAAAAAGAACUAUAUAGAAUUGAUUUGGGCAUUCCAUAUAUCAACUGCAAGAGUCCGAAAUCCAUUAAAAUGAUAAAAAUAAGAAAAGAAUAAAUGCAGGAACUUAGAAAUAUUACAGUAAAGUUACCCAAAAAAAUUGAUAUUAUUCUUGAAAAAAUACAGAACUCAUAUGGGCACUUCCACAUCUCAACCGCAAGAGUCCCAAAUCCAUCAAACAUAUCAAAAAAUAAGACAAGAAAAUAUUAAAAAAACCAUGAAAAGAACGAAUGAAAUUGAAAAGGGGAACAUAACUGGCCUGGUUGAAAUCAUAUGAAUGAUGCAGCGACAGUAAUUUUUGACGUUUUUUCAAAGAAACUCAAAUUUUAAGUAAGAUUGAAAACCCUAAAGAAUCCUAGAAGAAGAUUACAAAGCUUUCUACAACCUUUUCUUUUUAGGGAUUUUGGAGACACAAAAACAAAACUCCUGAGAAAUUAAAUUACGAUAUAAACUGUAAUGAAAUGCAGGAGUUAGACUAAAAUAGAAGUUACGUGCUAGGAAGAAGGAAGGUAGAAGGCGUGGAAUCUAGUAACUGAAGGCGUGAUCAAAAGGAAGCACUUCGGCAAAGGCGCGUAAGCUAAACCACGCCUUUGCUGGGUUUCAUCUGUUCUAACAGAAAGCCAAGAAGCGCGGCAACUUGCAGCAACUUGCAGCUGCAAUUGGGACACGUGUUUGAACCUUAUUUGGUACUGUUAGAAAUCUGUUAGAAGCUAAUAACUAUAUAAGCAGGCCUGUCUGCUUAGUCGAGUAGGCUUUUGAAUCAUUUCUGUCCAGAUUAGUUGUAAUAGCUUGAGGAGCAAUCCUCAUACUUUCCCUCCCAAAUUUUCCUUCAGAUCUUACACCUUCUUAGCUAAAUUCAUUACCUCUAUUCUUGUAAUUUGUUUCCGAUUCAUUAAUGAAUUUGAGCUCAAUUCAAUUACUGUUCCAUUGAUCAACUGCUGAACAUUGCAGUCAAGUUUGUUUCCUUUUACAUUUUCUGCCCUUUGGCUUCUGUACCAUAACAUAAACACAAUUUUAUCUAAAUAAAAAACAAGUACUACAGUUACCUGAUUAUCCAAAUUAGUGACUCUUCUUCCCCUGUUCUACCCUCGCACUUAAAAGCACAGAGAUUCUCUCCUUCUCCGUGUGAUCAAGAGUAUGUAGAGAAUGGGAAAAAAAUUUGAGACGAAAUUUUUAUUCUCAAAAAACAAUAUCAAAAUUUGAAAGUAAAAAAUUCCGCCCAAAUUUUUUUGAAUAAAAUUAACCCAAAAAAUGUGAGGAAUUAAAAGCUGAAGGAGGACGAUAAGGCAGAAAGCGUGUACUAUUGUGCAUGUUUUUCUAGAUGUUUUUGUGUGCCGAAAUGGGAAAG
RNAcentral lists this long non-coding RNA (26634 nucleotides) under Coffea arabica (coffee). RNAcentral's name for it is "long non-coding RNA (CARA_LNC006838)". The record is from RNAcentral. Lineage: Eukaryota; Viridiplantae; Streptophyta; Magnoliopsida; Gentianales; Rubiaceae.